This 301-nucleotide ribosomal RNA is filed under the name uncultured bacterium. Its description in RNAcentral is "partial 16S ribosomal RNA". It matches the Rfam family "Bacterial small subunit ribosomal RNA", at positions 509 to 809 of the family's 1533-position model. The record is from RNAcentral.
CAGUAGCCGCGGUAAUACGGAGGGUGCAAGCGUUAAUCGGAAUUACUGGGCGUAAAGCGCACGCAGGCGGUCUGACAAGUCAGAUGUGAAAUCCCCGGGCUUAACCUGGGAACUGCAUUUGAAACUGUCAGGCUGGAGUCUUGUAGAGGGGGGUAGAAUUCCAGGUGUAGCGGUGAAAUGCGUAGAGAUCUGGAGGAAUACCGGUGGCGAAGGCGGCCCCCUGGACAAAGACUGACGCUCAGGUGCGAAAGCGUGGGGAGCAAACAGGAUUAGAGACCCCGGUAGUCCCUGUCUCUUAUAA